AUUUCCAGAGAUUGUUUUAAGGAGCAGUCUUAUAUUCAGGGUAGAAAGUUAUGAUUGGAUCUGCUGUUAAGGAGAACAAAGGAGCUUCUAAAGGUUUGGGAGGUUUACUGGUAGUAACUAUUCUAGGAAAUAUUUAUGUUUUAAGGUGAUGUUCACAUGGGUUCUUUAGAAGGAACAUAGUCAAGUGUGAUGGAUUAACUCUAUAUAGUCUUUCUCCUCUUGUGCGUGUAGGAAAUCUGACCUGCAGUGUCAGUUGAUGUGACAAGAGAUAAAGAAAGCACAGUAUUUUAAAAUCUAAAGCAGAUUCCUUUCUUAGAAAACAAUAGGAAAAAAUUAUAGAUGGAUGUCUUUGCUGAAAUCUAACAAUUAGCUCAUAUUCCAUGAGAAAGAGUGGCCUAAGAAUUAUUUCAUGUUACCUAGCCUUCUGAAGCUACUCACUUGAUGUGCCUAGCACUUUGAAACUAACCUUUUCUUUCUUUGUUCAUGACAGUUUAAUUCCAAAUAUUUACUAUUUUCUCUUGUAACUGUUAGAACAGUUCCUUUUGACAUUAAUUUUUGCCUACAUAUAUAUUUUUAAGUUGAGACCAAAUCGGUGAAGUGUUGAGCAAGUAACAUUUAUGAUGUGUGUAUAUUGGAACAAAUGUAAAAGGGUUACAAAGAUUAGAAACAGAGUCAUAAAAAAUGGCUUGAUUUAUAAAGGCAUUACUUUUGGUGCUUUAUAUAAUGGCAUAUAUUGAACUAAAAAUUUGUAUAUACAGUAUGUCAGCAUUUCUUAGUAACUUCUCUUGAAUCCAUUUUUAAUAUCUAAUAUUGUACAGGUUGGGGAGUUACAUUCUUCAGGCCAAUACUAUCCAGACUAUAUAAAUUUAUAAAAUAAAUUGAAAAAUUCAUUCCCCUGUAUUCAAGACCAAAGCACAUAAAUGCUAAUGUAGGGCUCAGAGGGGAAAUACAGUUCUCCUGCAUAUUUGAGAAAAUGUGAAGUCCUUUCAAGAAAAUCUAAUAAACAUAAUAAUCAUAGCCUGCUGACACUAAGGAAAAAGGACCUCAUUCACUCUUUCUUUUAUGCAGUGAUUUACUGGUCCCUACUGAUUUCCAAAUUGGAUCACGAUAGUAAAUUAUCCAUGCUGGUACCUGUGAAAGUAAGCCCUGGGAUCCAUAUUUGUUUUGUGUUCUGCUUAAAUCAGCAAGAAUGAUAAAUUUGAUGGUGUGAAAUUGGAAGUAUCAAGGGCUUUCUUUGGUGAUUGAGGGAAAUAAUGUCUCUACUUGUAAUUUAUUGUGACCCUUUUUCACUGUAUAUGCUUUGUAUGUCUAAUAUUUAUUUCAAUGCAAAUUCAAUUGUUCCUUCAUCUGUAUUGUUAUAUCUAAGAUUUUAUUGAUGUUAAAAUCUAAUUGUGGAAUAAAAAUCUCUCUGGAAU
RNAcentral lists this long non-coding RNA (1415 nucleotides) under Homo sapiens (human). RNAcentral describes it as "non-protein coding lnc-DCAF4L1-2:1". Lineage: Eukaryota; Metazoa; Chordata; Mammalia; Primates; Hominidae. The record is from RNAcentral.